CCACGCAAAGAGCAGUACGUGCGCUGACGAGGCGCACAGGCGAAAGCAAGGAGACACCGGCCGCUCUCAGCAAGUCACGAAGCCUCCGUUGUGCACACGAACACAUGUACACCCCCCCCGUGCGGGUGCGCAGGAACUCACGCGUAUUCAAGCUGCCUUAUACACCUGUCGAUACCGUGACAGUGAGGGCAACGCGCAUAGAAGGCUGCUGCAGGGCGUCAGCAGCACGCCUGCUUGUCUGCUGCAGCCGCUGUGUCUGCAGUCCGUCAUAGACUCAUCACCUCUACCAUCAACCAGGGGGGAAGUUGCCUUCAGGCCCCUCCCUCUCGCCUCCACCGACUGACUCUGUUGAGGGCCCGCUGCUUCUUAUCUCUCGGCAUGGAGGGCAACGCCUCAUCGCGCCAGCAGCGCCCCUUCUACGCAGGUGUGGCAGAUCCCUUCAUCGCACCCUCCCCGUCCUCGCCACAGCGCUCGGCCAGAGUCGCCGCCGGCGUGCCCGCCGCAGCCACAGUGACGACAGUGAUUCACAUGAACGACACUGAGGACGACGAGAAGCCGAAGGCACAAGAAUCGGUGGUUGAUGACGCUGACACAGACAUGGCACGCACGGCUGCCGAGGUCACUGCGGCGGAGGCGCUUGAUUCGAGGCGAGGCGCAGAAGCGGUGACGGCGGGCGCCGGCGGUCACGCGACGCUCUGGGCAGAUCGAGUGGAAACAGUGACGGCCUACCAGCUGGCCUCGGCGGCCCUUCGACGUCUGCCCACGCGCACCGCCCCCGUCGACAAGGACGUUUGGAGAAGGCAGCGGACGGAGGAGGGGACGACGUCAAGAGUUGCAGCGAGCGCCACGCACGCAGACGUCAGCGCGUCGCCGCCGCAACCCUCAGCAGCCCCGCGUGGGAUCAUCUUCGACGACGCCGAUCAACCAGCAGCGUGCACCACCGGCCCCUCUCUGCAAACCCCAAGUGCGGAGCAGGUGCGCGUGGCAGUCUUCACAGCCGUGUCGCCGUCUUCGAGUCGCUUUCAAGUACCGCCGCUACAGGCAGCGCACAUGCAUGCUGUGCAACCGUCGCCCCACACUUCAUCGCAUAAAGGCGAGGAAAGUGCCGUGCUCACCUCCUCCGAAGGUCAGAGCUCCAGCAGCGCCAACGUAUACCGUCACACGGACCGCCAGGGCAACGGAGAGGCCGCUGAGGGCGCGAACGCCCGUGAUGACGCGGACGACGAGGACGACGUUGCUGCACGGGUGCUCUUCUCGCUGCAUCGAAAAGAUGACAUGAUCAGGCAGCUCACGCACGCCGUUGAGGCGCUGCAAGACGAAAACGCUCUGCUGCGCAGCCUUCGUGCAGCGGCUCCGCAGGCGGAUGCCGUCCCGCCGCCACCAGCGACCGGAUUGGCACUGUCUCCAGAUAGGGUGAAGACACCCUCCCCGUCGUGGCCUGCGACGCCGGUGCGUUGGUGGGGGACGAAGCACAAGACCGCGCUGUCUGAUGGCCUUGGGCCGCGGCACGAAAGCUCGCAAGCUCUCGAGGGGAGUGGCCAUGCCAACGUGAAGGAGCAGCCCCUGCGCACCUCCCCAUCCCUCUCUGCUGCGCAUGCUGCUGUGAGCACCAUCGCUGCUCUGCAGCGCACGCUCGCUGACAAGGAGGCGGAGCUGGAAGCGCUUCGAUCACAAGUCGUCACCGCCGGCAAUAAGAACGACACUCGAGACGCCACUGCGCCUGCGGAAGCGCCGCCUGUGGAGUACAGCGCUGGUGAUUCCGUGAUAUCUGGCGCUCGAGGCGCGCCAUCCGCGUCGCCGUCCGCGGCGGAGGCGGCUGCAGAGUCUCGCAUCGCCCAGCUUGAGUGGCAGCUGCAGAACGUUCAGCAAGAGAAGCGGGAGGACACGCACACGCUGCGUGACCAUAUCGACCAUCUCACACGUGAACUGCACCGAAAGAGUCGCGACAUGGAGCGGCAACAGCGGCACCACAAGCUCGAGCUAGCAGCUCUUCAGCAGGAGGUGACGGCCUUGGCCGACCAGCUUGAAGAGCAGAUCCGUGUCUCCGCGAGCGCAACAGCAGCACCACCGAGGCGGGAGCCAGAGGCGGAACAGCUGAUGGAGCUGCAACGUGAGCUGGCGCAGGCGAAGGCGCGGGAGGCGCUGCUGCUGACCGAACGUGCCGCUACGCAGCAGCGCUGGCUGCGAGAGAUGGAGGAGCAGAAGAGUUUGCUCGACGAAGCGCGUGCGGACGCUGCGCGAGAAGAGCAGCAGAAUGAGUGCCGUGUGCAGCAGGAGCGGCAGCUGGCUCAGAAGGCAGCCCAACAGCAGCAGCAGCUCGAGGAGCAGGUGCAUCAGUACAAGGAGGCCCUCGCACAAGCGAAGCGAGAGCUGUCGGACCUGCGUGCAGUACAUCAGCGAACGGAGGAAACAGUGUCAGAGCAGAGGCGGCAGCUCCAGCGCAUCAGCCACGACAUCGCCACAGCGGCGCUGGAACGAGCUCAUGAUGAGCAGCGAGCUGCGCGCGCGGAAGAGCAAGUUAGGCUGCUCCACCAGCAGCUGAGCCAAGCAGCGGCCACCGUCGCAUCGCAAGAGGCUGAGUUGGAAUCGCUCCGGCAAGCUCGCCAGGACGAGGCGGCCGCGGCUGUCGCGCUGCAAGAGGAAGAGCACGCCGCGCUGCUCAAGCAAGUUAAAGGCUGCAUGAAGGGCAGUGAGGCCGUGGAGAGCGCGUUGCUGGCGGCGGAGAGCAGCAGACGGGCGAUGGCCUCUCAACUGACACGUGCACUGGAAGAGCGAAAUGAGUACCACCGACUUCUCCGUGAGGCAUCGGUGCAGGCACAGGCGCAGCUGUUGGAGCAGCAGCAGCUCCUCAGCGAAGGUAACGAUUUAGUGCACCGGCGGCUGCAAGAGGCCCAAGAGCAUCUUCUGCAGCGCACAGAGACCCUCGAGACGACGCAGCGUGAACUACAGGCAGCCCAGCAACGGAUGCUGGCCCUCAAAGACGAACUCACGCGCUCCCAGGCAGCGCAACGUCAGCUUGGCGAAGAGCUGCACGCCGCACAGGCGAGGCACGAGGCGCAGACUGCACAGCUCGUGCAUGCGAAGGAGGGCUUGAAGGAUGCGUUGCAUGCACAGCUGGCCACAAUGGGCAAACUUCGCAGAAAGGAGAAGCAGCUGCACUUGCAACAGGCGGCGGCGCAGCGGGCGAUGGAGCGGCGACAAGAGGAGCAGCGAGCACUCCAGGGCAUUGUGAACCUUCUGUGGUCGCCGGCGGUGUUCCUGUCACCGACGUGCCCGCGGGCUUCUGGGGUGCGGCCGCACGAGUCCAGUCGCAUAUUGCGCCUGCCGCCACCGCAGGUAGUGAGGAGUGCAGCGACGCUGGCGCCCGAGGGCAUGCCGGCCAUGUCGCGUAGGGCCCUCGCGAUGCUGGAGCGGAGCGCCACCAUUCAUACGAGGAGAUCUUGCCAGAUCCGGAAACGGCGAUCGGUGAGCAUGGCUGGUGCUUCAGCUGCAGAAGUUGCUGGUGUCCGUGCGGAUGCCGAGAACGAAGAUGUCGAUGAAACCGUGCGCCCGUCGCGGUCGGCGUCGUCGGUGUCCUCCGCCGCAGCGUCCGUGGUGAUGUCCGCUGUCAGCUGGGACAACGUGCCGGCGGCCUCAAUCAGCGAUGGCGACACGGCACUCAAAGAACGCCAUCGCACCGCGGCAGCAGCUUCGGAGGAAGGCGAUGUGUCGGCGAAUUCGAGAGCUGCCGCAUCCGCGAGGGUGCCCCUUCACUCCCGCCUCGAUGGCGGCCCACCGGCGCUCGAGAGGCAGCUGGAGCGCUCUGCCAUCGACCACGAAGGAGAAGGGCGAACAGCGGCAACCGAGGCGGACCCCUCUAUCCUGCGCCUUCUCCGUGCCAUUCGCGAUGCUAUCGAGCAGAUGUGCGCAGCCUACACCGCCGCGCAGCAUGAGCUGGGCACCAAGCGGAUUGCAGUGCGGACGCUGGUGAAGGAGAGGAAGGCGCAGCAGGUUCAGCUGGAGGAGCUGCGCGCUACGCUUCAAGAGCAGCGGCACAAGGCUGAGCGGCUGCGGCGCGACGCGGUUCAGUCCGUGCGUGCGGCGUCUCAAGCGGAGCUCGAGAAGGUGUGCCAUGCAUGGCAGGAGAAGUGCGAGGCGGGUAUGGCUUUUCAGCUGCAAACCUAUGAGGAACAACAUCGGCGCGCGGUGGCGGAGGUCUUGAAGGCGUGUGUAGAGCACGUGCAAGCGGAGCUCAUCGUCUUUGUAGAACUUCUGCCCACCACUCUGAGUGCUGGAUUAGCGAGAGUCGCGGCGGCGUCGGCGGAGCGCACGCGCGACGAAGUAUUGCGAGAAGUGCAUCAUCAGUACUGGUGCUCCCCGAGCACCACGAGCGCAGCCCAUGACCUCGUCUGUGAUAAUGGCCGUGGUGCGCAGGCGCGUCACCCAAGCACCGCCGCCGCGGCUGCUGAUGACGUGUCUCUUCUCUCGUUGGGACUUGAGGUGCAGCCCGAAGUGCAGGCAGAGUGCGACGCGAUCAUCCGCGACGUUCUCCACAUGGCGGGUGGAUGGGCCGACUUGACGAGUGCCGUGCUCGUCGCCAACAGCACCGCCGCCGCGGACUAUCCGUCAGGGAGCGUUCUGCCCUUCUCAGCGUUGCCGGCUCCGCAGCCGUGCACGCUCACGUACGGCGCCGCGUUGGAGAGCCGCGUCUCUCCCCCUGAUGCCGAGCCGGCUCGAAGAAUCGUGGUGAACGCCGAAGCCGCUCUCUGGUCUGCCGAGGAGAUGGCGGAGCUUAGGGAAGUGAUCCAUGCACACGUUACUCGCUCAUUGUCGGCGCUGACGGCAGCGGCAUCGCGCUCCUCGUUAGCGGGCGUGACCACCAGCGUAUCGAGAAACGGGGCAAGUGAAGAGCGGCAGGGCGUGGAUGCUCACGCGCGAGACGCACCUGCCACCGUCGGUGGUGCGAGUGGCGGCACCAGAUCCACGAAUGUCAAGGGAAGGGUCCCCGGCGAAGAGUCGAAGACCGCUCUACCACGCUGGAUGCGCGAAGGGAGCGCAUCCACUCGGCCAGCCUCAUCACCAUCGCGCUGCUCACCCGUCAGGGAGACCGAGAGCACGUCAACUCCGCCGAGAAGCUCUGCCGUUGAAGACGCGGCCGCUGCUCGGGUGCCCUUGCACCACCAGCAGCCUCGCCUGCUUGCCCUGCUUCUGGAUGCGUGUGUCACACAUGUGCACGCGCGGUUGCUGGCGUGAUGCCGCAUCGUCGACACAGCACUCCGCAACAAG
This 5265-nucleotide unclassified non-coding RNA is filed under the name Leishmania donovani. RNAcentral describes it as "gene:LdHU3.12.0410(CDS-product:hypothetical_prote in_conserved)". Lineage: Eukaryota; Euglenozoa; Kinetoplastea; Trypanosomatida; Trypanosomatidae. The record is from RNAcentral.